Molecule: ribosomal RNA, 117 nt
Filed under: Pteropus alecto (black flying fox)
Lineage: Eukaryota; Metazoa; Chordata; Mammalia; Chiroptera; Pteropodidae
Source: RNAcentral
ACUAAAAUUAAUACAAGUCAACAUGCCUUAUCUCAUCUGAUCUUGGAAACUAAGCAGGGUCGGGCCUGGUUAGUAAUUGGAUGGGAGACUACCUAGGAACACCAGGUGCUGUAGGCC